Molecule: ribosomal RNA, 519 nt
Filed under: uncultured Streptococcus sp.
Lineage: Bacteria; Bacillati; Bacillota; Bacilli; Lactobacillales; Streptococcaceae
Description: bacterial SSU rRNA
Rfam family: Bacterial small subunit ribosomal RNA
Source: RNAcentral
UUAGAGUUUUGGACUGGCUCAGGACGAACGCUGGCGGCGUGCCUAAUACAUGCAAGUAGAACGCUGAAGAGAGGAGCUUGCUCUUCUUGGAUGAGUUGCGAACGGGUGAGUAACGCGUAGGUAACCUGCCUGGUAGCGGGGGAUAACUAUUGGAAACGAUAGCUAAUACCGCAUAAAAUGGAUUAUCGCAUGAUAAUCCAUUAAAAGGUGCAAAUGCAUCACUACCAGAUGGACCUGCGUUGUAUUAGCUAGUUGGUGGGGUAACGGCUCACCAAGGCGACGAUACAUAGCCGACCUGAGAGGGUGAUCGGCCACACUGGGACUGAGACACGGCCCAGACUCCUACGGGAGGCAGCAGUAGGGAAUCUUCGGCAAUGGACGGAAGUCUGACCGAGCAACGCCGCGUGAGUGAAGAAGGUUUUCGGAUCGUAAAGCUCUGUUGUAAGAGAAGAACGAGUGUGAGAGUGGAAAGUUCACACUGUGACGGUAUCUACCAGAAAGGACGGCUACUACUCAGAC